AGAGUUUGAUCCUGGCUCAGGACGAACGCUGGCGGCGUGCUUAACACAUGCAAGUCGAACGAUGAUGCCCUGCUUGCAGGGUGGAUUAGUGGCGAACGGGUGAGUAACACGUGGGUGAUCUACCCUGCACUUCGGGAUAAGCCUGGGAAACUGGGUCUAAUACCGGAUAUGACCCUCCUUUAGUGUGGGGGGUGGAAAGCUUUUGCGGUGUGGGAUGAGCCUGCGGCCUAUCAGCUUGUUGGUGGGGUAAUGGCCUACCAAGGCGUCGACGGGUAGCCGGCCUGAGAGGGUGAUCGGCCACAUUGGGACUGAGACACGGCCCAGACUCCUACGGGAGGCAGCAGUGGGGAAUCUUAGACAAUGGGCGCAAGCCUGAUGCAGCCAUGCCGCGUGUAUGAAGAAGGCCUUCGGGUUGUAAACUCCUUUCGCUAGGGACGAAGAUGUAUUUUGACGGUACCUGGAGAAGAAGCACCGGCUAACUACGUGCCAGCAGCCGCGGUAA
Molecule: ribosomal RNA, 502 nt
Filed under: uncultured bacterium
Lineage: Bacteria
Description: bacterial SSU rRNA
Rfam family: Bacterial small subunit ribosomal RNA
Source: RNAcentral